Long non-coding RNA from Motacilla alba alba, 7252 nucleotides. RefSeq lists it as uncharacterized. NCBI's taxonomy places the organism in Eukaryota, Metazoa, Chordata, Aves, Passeriformes, Motacillidae. The record is from RefSeq and is a predicted model, not a curated record. The transcript has 9 exons.
UUUGUCAGCCUCUCUUCACAGGAGAGGCGCUCCAGCCCUCUGAGCAUCAUCUGGAUUCACUCCAAUAGCUCCAUGUCCUUCCUGAGCUGCCCUAUUCAUGUUCUGUCCUCUGCAGCUUCUCCUGUGGAGCUGGAACAUCACAGAAAGGUGCUUGUGAGCCAAUAACUGCUGCCAGGAGCUCCUUCCCAGUGCUGCCAGUGCUUCUACACCCUGGUCAUGACAUGGUUAUUGCCACAGUACAUGGACAUCAGGUUCAUUGCAGUCUGAGCUCUGGAGGGAGCUGGGAGGAGAUCCAUAACACAUCCAUCUGCCUCCACAACAUUUCAGAGAGGAAGAAUUGUCCCUGGCACACAGCAAAGCCUUGCUAUGCAAUCAACUUAAGCCUUGAAGCAUGAAAUUUGAUUUUCUUUACCAUAGGUGUCUCCUCAGAGCAGAGUGCACAGGAUUCAGGAAUCCCUUUCACGUUGGAUGAGGAUUCCAGGUGGACUUGUUGGGUCUUUCUACAGCAGGAAACACAAGCCCCUCAAAUUCUGCACUCUCCUUUGGUGGAGCCACAGUUUCUGAACUGGGAAAAGGAGACACGACCAGGUCCUUGCAGGGAGGGAGAAGAGGCAUGAAGGGUGAGCUCAAGGGUCCUGCAGUGGGUCUGAGGCUUUGCAAAUCCCCAAAGAGCCAGGCAAGCCUUGAGCCCCCCACAGCCCCCUGCAGCCACUUGUCCCAAGGUGUCCUUUGCAGAGCAUGGCCUGCCCUUCCUGUGCUGUGCUGGACAGUGAUCACUGGGGGCACUGUGCAAAGACAGGUCAUAGAGGAAGGGUAAAACCCCCACUUUUUAACAGGUUUGUGUUGAUUCUGGCUUUUCUAGGAGUUUUUUCACAGCAGCAACACCAAACCUCCACAGGAACGCAGUUAAAAUCACAACAAACUGCAUAAGGGCAGAGCAGAAUGGAAGGAAACACUUAAACCAGUUUUUCUGCCAAAGAAAAUGUCCAUGUGAUGACAUCCUCUUGAUAUAGAAUCAAUCCGUGAGAUUGCCAUGGAGAAGGCUGGGGAAGAUGUUUGGGCCCUUAUUAAAGCUGCAUGGGCAUAAAUAGAUAUGCAAGAUUUCAGCUUGAGGUCUGUGUUUCAUCCCAGUAUUACCUGACUGGGGAAGGAAUGUCAUGAGAAGCAGACUGCAUAAAAACCCUACUAAUCAGAUAAUCCUUGAACAUGGUGCUGCUCCAGACCUAUUUGUAUGGCUGUAGACAUCUAUUCUAUUCUAUGAAUGAAUGCACACUCCUACCUAAACCUGCAAACAGACAUUCAAACAUAUGUAUAUAUUACAGAUCUAAUUCCUCCCAGUGUAUGCUAAUCCUGGUUUGGUGCCCUUAGCAAAACUUUGAUUUAUUGUGCUUUAAAUACUCUGGGUGACAUUCAUCCCCAGAUGGAGUUCUGCUGUAGUUGAGACAAAUAUAUGUUUUGUCUGUAGGACACCUGCUAUUACACUUUCUUAAUGUGGAGAAUGUUCAUGUUUCAGGCAAAUACCUUUCACUGUUUGGUAAGCAUGUAGCUCUCCAAAAUUCUUGUCAGGUUACUUUGCUGUUUCUGACAGCCUGGAGCAGAGGUUUGGUGUAUGUUUAAUGUGUAUUUACCCUGACCUGGAGAAUUUGCAGUUCUUUUAAAACAUCUUGUAUUCACCUUUUUCUUUUUCUCAGCUUUAUGUCAGUAGAAGGAGUAAUAGCCAACCUGGCUUCCAAAGUUUCUCUCCUAAUUUCUGCAUUUUGGUGGAGUCUCAGCUGUUACAGCUGAGUGCAAAAGUCUUGUAAGGCUCCUUGGGUACAUUAGAACAAGCUGAGCAGCACCGGUGGAAGUACUAAGAUAGUUCACCUCCAGUGUAUUUGCAGGGCUGAUGCCUUGAAAAAACCCUGGGCAUGGAUAAUUAAAUCUGUUGCUGCUGUCAGGUUGGUAGGAAUGCAUUUCUGUUUCAAAAGCCUUUCACCAGUUGCACCUGUAAUCACAGAGGAAUCUCUCAGGCAUGCAGGGAACGGAGAGCUGCACCCAGAAAGAUGCUCUGUCUGACCCCAUUUCCCCCCAGUCCCUCUGCUGACAAAGCCUUCUCACACUUGUGGGAAAUGGUAACGUGUAGGGGGAUUCCCUGGCUCCUGUCCCUCCUGACAUUUUCAAUGUAUUUCCCAGGCCUGUUUUUCCAUCCUGCGGUGUAAAAUUAAUUUUGAUGAAAUCUUGAGUGAAUUAAACUGCAACACAACGAUCUCCUUUCUCAACUCAUAUCUGCUGUCUGCCUUGUUUAUGUGUAGAAGAAGCACUUGGACAUACCAAUGAUCCUGUCAUUUAUUUUCCUUGUGCAUCGUGCCUUUGGCUACUAGAAUUAAACUGGAAAAUACAAUUAAAAGCAUUAGCUGUAGCAGACAUACAGAAAAAUAUCAUUACAUGCUUGACAGUGUUCUCCUUCAUAGUGUUAAUCCCUGCAGAUCUACCUGUGCUAUUAGAGUUCAUAUACAGAUUUUAUUUUUCUCUGAAGACUACAUUAAUUGGAAUGAACAUUCUUGUUUGUAUAAGGGAAGAAAAGGAAGAUGUCACCAUGCUGGAAAGCCUCACCUGAGUUUUCUUGGCUGAGACUGUGCCUCCAGGGCAUUGCUGUGACUGUGAAAUAACAAGGGGCAUCUUCCCCCCCUUGACUGCCCACACAGACCACCAGAACCAGGAUUUGCAAUGACUGUCUUAUGAUGGGAAGUGUUGGGGUUUGAGAUUCUGCUUCAGAAAUGAAUAGUUGUUGUAAUCAGGAGAAAAGCUUUGUAUCCUAUAAAAGGCACAGGAGACUGCUGGACAAAAUGGGAAACCCCCCCCACAUUAGGAUAUUUCAAAAGCAAUGCUGCUAUGACCAAUAAAUGAGAGAGCAAGGGCAGAAAAUGGAUUGCAGGUCAGAAAAAAAAGAAUGUGAAAGGAAGACAAACAUUAAUAAAAAAGGAACCUGGACUUUUGCUGGUUAAACCAAAUUUCAAACAUGCACAUAACCUGCAGACACAUAAAAAUGUGUUUAUACAUCAGAAUGGAGAAUGUGAGUUCUGCUGUUUAUCUUGAAGAACAACAGCAGCAGUGCAGGUUUGUCCACUCUUCAGCACCAGCACAUGUGGUCACCAUUAACCAUUUGGCAGAAAUGAAGUACAAGGAGGUGACCCUCACAGCCCACGGACACACAGAAGUCUCCUGCCUUGAAAACAAUCAAAAAUCAGACUGGAAAUGCUCAGAAAUACAAAACCAGUGGUCCUGGGAAAAAUAAAAUAAAUCGCAGGUAUAUUUCACUUUAUUUAUUUGUUCUUCAUUUUGAUAGCACAUCUCAAAUUACACUUGGUAAUGAGAUCUUACAAAUCUUUCCCCUGCUCUGGGACAGAAAGCAAAAACCACUCAUGCAUAAGGUAUUGAAUGCAUUCACAUCAAAUAUCUUGUAUGUUGGGCUUUUGAACAUCAUAAAUAUGAGAACAUUAAAUCAGCUGGUAUUGGAAUUUUUUAACAAUAUCAUUGUUACAGAUCAUAGCAGCUUAAAAGGUUUAACUCAAGUUUACUUGCUUCCAAUAUUUUUAUUUUUAAAAGUUUCUAGUAAAGUUUGGUAAGAGAUUAAAAAUAUAGAGGCCCAAAUACUACAAAAUAAUGUUUUAAAGAUUAAGUAUUUCUAUUUAGUUUGUAAGUGUUAAAACUCACAAUGGCCUUUCUGCUUUGACUGGGAAUGCAAAUACUUAGAUGAAGGUUAUGAAAUUCAACUUAUUUGUGAUUCUUAAGCAUCAUGAAACCUCUUGAAAGAGGUCUAGGCUUCCAGAAAUGUUGAAUACCCAUCCUUUAAGAGGUCCUCAGCUAGGGACACAAAAUCUCCAUCUAUUCCUGCAAAUAUUAGCCAAAAUACUGGGGACUCACUAAUAGAGUUCUCAGGAAAGUUAGUUCUAUGAAACUAGUUAAUUCUGUAGUUCUGUGAAAGCAGGAUAAGAAUGAAUGUAGAUUCUGUUGUGCAAGAUGAUUUUGCUUUUUUUUUUUUUUUAAGCUGUCAUCUGAAUGCUUUGAUAGCCAUCAGGAACAAGAUAUUUUGCAAUAGAGGGAUAGAGUCUAAUUGUAGAAGGGGAAGAAAAGCUACCUACAAAAGCCAAGAUCAUGAUAAGAAAACAAAUUUAUUGAACACCUUCUCUGAAAAGACCCAUGCACGGGUGAAAUAUUGCUACAAACACUUGCUCUGAUCCUACAUCAUGCCUUAAACUGCUUUGUGAAAUAACCAAGGGAUGAAGGUGCACGAUGAACCCAAGGAAACACCUGGGCAUGUAUGAAAACACAGGAACAAAUCCAGGUGCUGUACCACGGAUUAAUCUUAAUCCCUUGCUACCGGGCAUCUGCUUUCUGUAACCCUGAGUCAGUUCCUAGAAGCUUCUAGCAACACAGCUGGAAACAACCCUAAACUUUCAAUUUGGGACAUGGAAACUGCAUGCGAAGGAGACCAAAGCACAGGAGGAGGAAAGCUGGGUUGGGAUUAACUCAGUUCAAGGGUUACACCGAAUUUGAUCAGUGCCUUGUGCGGCUGUGCACUAAAGGUCUUUUUAGAGCUGGAACUCAGACCUCUUUUUUUUGCAUGUUGUAGGAUGCCUCAGGUAUCUCUGCAGCUGUCAGGUAUUAAACCACAUGGCUGCAAGAUCAAAGCAGGCCAGAUGCUUUGACAGAAGUAGUUAACAGUGUGCAUCACAUCCUCGUGGUGCUGAGGUCUCGGCCAUCGCACCAGGCUGCUGACGGCUUCGUAAACACGUUCACUCCAGUUAUAAACUUACUUAUUUCUUGUGCCAAGACUUCAAUGUGCUUCAGUGCAUGAAGGAAAUUUACAACCAACUCCAGGAAUAUAUAUAUAUGUGUGUAUAUAUAUUCCAGCUCUCCAUUUCAGUUAAAAAACCAGCAGCAAUUAUAUUUUAGAUUCGUAACAGAUAUUUAUAACUUAGCUAUAAACAAAUGCUGAGCUAAAGCUUUGCAGAAAGCUCUCAGGAAAGCUAAUUAUUAUAAGAUUUAUAGGAAUAUUAACAGUGUUCUUCCAGUACCACAGUUAUACUAUGAUAUAUAAUCAUAGUAUAUCUAUAUAUUAUACUAAUGACAAUGAGUAGAUAUAAAUUUUAUCUUUUCUGACAUGGGUUUACUCUUUAAGUGGGAAAUACAAGAAGACGGUUGUUAUAACUCAGUAUAGUGAUUUUUUUUUUUUUUUACUAUUUUAGUCAUAGUUUAAGAUCAGGUAAAUGUAGCUAUCUCCAUAUAAAGGGAAAGGACUCUGGGGCAGAUUAGUAACUUGUUUUUUGAAUGGAUAUAACUUUGGUUGCUGUCUGUUCAAAGCAUACAAUCUAUGAAGUUGUGUUUAUGGGGAAAAGGAGGAAAGGGUUUAAAUCCAGAUAAGAAGUUUGAAUUCCUCUGCAGUGUUAAUUGGGUUUCUUGAUCAAAAUUUAUUCUGAUUCAGAUUGUCACUUGGUUGCUCUAAUUCCACCAAGUCUUUGUAAAUGCAAUGGAAGAAGAAUCUGGACCACUACUGAAAAAGCUUUGCCUUGUGAUCUCUGUGUGAACUAUGCUGGGAAUGAGUUUUGGCCUGCAUGACUGAGCUGACAUCCAGGCCUUGUCUCGUUAAUGGUUUUUCUUAAUACACACAGCCACGUUAACAACCUGGUGUUUCCAGGAAGCAGUGAUUCAGCAAAGCCAUUCUCCUAUUUAAUUUAAAUCCCAGUGAAAGGGGACUACUCUAUAUGUAUUUUAAAUGUCAGAAGGCAGUUUGAUCUACCAGAACCUGAUGGAGCUUUUUGAAGAACUUUUCAGAAUCCUGCUAUAAGGAAUGCUUUAAUGAAAUAGCCUCCAAGGGCUAAGAAGCCUCACCUUAGGGUUCCUGAACCAGGACAGAGGGAAUCAAACUGCCCAGCAGGACCCCAGCAGCAUCCCUGAUGUGGGACAGGCUGCUCUGAGCCAGCUCUUGGAGAAGGAUGUGAAGCCAAAAGCCAUGGGAGCUGCUGAGUGCCUGCAGUCACAUUCCCAUCCGUGUGCUUCACCCACGCCUGAGAAUUCAGCUUCACAGCUCCGUUGUGAGGUAGGAAAUUACUGCCUCCCUUGCAGAAGUGGGGUGUAAGGAGAUGACUUUGUUCUCCUGGGGACCCACAGGAAGUCUGUGGUAAAGCUGAGGAAGAAUUUAAUCUCCCACUCUCUCCUCUGUGUCUACGGGCUUUUGACACCACCUUCAUUUCUGCAAGCUGUGAGCAGCCUGGACAAUAGGCAGUCACAAAGUGGUUUCUCUCCCCUGUCCUGCCUGUCUGAACUUUACAGGCUGGCUCAAACUGCACAGCUUUGCUGCCCAGUAGCGAGAUCAUCUUACCUACAGCAGUCUACAAGACAGACAAAGCUCAGCUGCAAAGCUCAGAAUUAAAUCUUCUGUACAGACUGGAGCCCACUUGUAUUUGCUUGCUUUCCUCCUUUCACGAAGCAGGAAAUACAAUAAAAACAACAAACACAAAAGAAAAGUCAAUGAACAAAAACUUCUACUAUUAAUUACAAACAUUAGUGCAAACCACACAGCAGACUAUUUGUAGUAAGGUCAGUAUUUUCUGUAAGGAGGUUGUACAACUGAGGCUUUAAACACAGGUGAAGUCACAUUCUUUGCCAAAUAAGUAGUCAGCUUUGAAGGUCACUAACACAGGAAACCUGGAUUCUGCUGCUACACAUAAUAUUUUAUCUUACCUAUUUGUGUGUAUGCUAUCAGACUCGAAUUGAAAAUAUAUUUAGUCCUGUACCUUUUAAAAAUAUAUUUAUUAAAAGGUGGUAAAGACCAAAUUCCAAAGCUGAAUUACAGGUUUGGCUAAGAGACUAGCAUCGUUUUAACUGCCUAGAAGAGCUUUUUCAAAGACUAUUAUAAAAAAUUUAAAUGAGCUGUUUGUCUAUGGCAAAAAGCCAACACUUAAAUCCGUGUUUGUCAUUCAAAUUCAUGGCCCUGCUGCCCAAGGUUCUCACUGUGACAUCAGAUACUUAACACUGCUGUAAACUAGCUCACGUUUUUUACAUAUUCAGAAGUAGAUGUAGAUCUUAGGAUUUAUCUCACAUCACUUCAAAGCCAGGACCUUUGUACCUAAUUAAGAGUCAAAGCUUGAAAGUUGCAGCCAGGCAAGAAUCCCGCAGGAAUCCUGAUCUCCCUGCUCAACACGUGUUUAUGUUUGGCAGUAGUCAUCUGGGAGAAAGUGGAAAAAAGACUGGUUUGAAAAAAAAAAAAAAA